This 281-nucleotide ribosomal RNA is filed under the name Anaerobutyricum hallii. RNAcentral describes it as "partial 16S ribosomal RNA". It matches the Rfam family "Bacterial small subunit ribosomal RNA", at positions 524 to 805 of the family's 1533-position model. Lineage: Bacteria; Bacillati; Bacillota; Clostridia; Lachnospirales; Lachnospiraceae. The record is from RNAcentral.
UACGUAUGGAGCAAGCGUUAUCCGGAUUUACUGGGUGUAAAGGGUGCGUAGGUGGCAGUGCAAGUCAGAUGUGAAAGGCCGGGGCUCAACCCCGGAGCUGCAUUUGAAACUGCUCGGCUAGAGUACAGGAGAGGCAGGCGGAAUUCCUAGUGUAGCGGUGAAAUGCGUAGAUAUUAGGAGGAACACCAGUGGCGAAGGCGGCCUGCUGGACUGUUACUGACACUGAGGCACGAAAGCGUGGGGAGCAAACAGGAUUAGAUACCCCGGCCGGCUGACUGACU